RNAcentral lists this non-coding RNA (25 nucleotides) under Mus musculus (house mouse). Lineage: Eukaryota; Metazoa; Chordata; Mammalia; Rodentia; Muridae. The record is from RNAcentral.
UGAAGAGGUCUACCAAGCACUGUUC